RNAcentral lists this ribosomal RNA (155 nucleotides) under Peltigera evansiana. Its description in RNAcentral is "5.8S ribosomal RNA". The stretch from base 35 to 155 matches the Rfam family "5.8S ribosomal RNA", at positions 1 to 121 of the family's 154-position model. Rfam says of the family: 5.8S ribosomal RNA (5.8S rRNA) is a component of the large subunit of the eukaryotic ribosome. The record is from RNAcentral. Lineage: Eukaryota; Fungi; Ascomycota; Lecanoromycetes; Peltigerales; Peltigeraceae.
CAGUGAUGUCUGAGCAAAUUAUUUAAAUAAGCAAAACUUUCAACAACGGAUCUCUUGGUUCUGGCAUCGAUGAAGAACGCAGCGAAAUGCGAUAAGUAAUGUGGACCGCAGUACUCAGCGACUCAUCGAAUCUUUGAACGCACAUUGCGCCCCUU